AGAGAUGGAUUGGUGGCCUUCGGGAACUCUGACACAGGUGCUGCAUGGCUGUCGUCAGCUCGUGUCGUGAGAUGUUGGGUUAAGUCCCGUAACGAGCGCAACCCUUGUCCUUAGUUACCAGCACGUUAUGGUGGGCACUCUAAGGAGACUGCCGGUGACAAACCGGAGGAAGGUGGGGAUGACGUCAAGCCAUCAUGGCCCUUACGGCCUGGGCUACACACGUGCUACAAUGGUCGGUACAAAGGGUUGCCAAGCCGCGAGGUGGAGCUAAUCCCAUAAAACCGAUCGUAGUCCGGAUCGCAGUCUGCAACUCGACUGCGUGAAGUCGGAAUCGCUAGUAAUCGUGAAUCAGAAUGUCACGGUGAAUACGUUCCCGGGCCUU
RNAcentral lists this ribosomal RNA (382 nucleotides) under uncultured Pseudomonas sp. RNAcentral describes it as "bacterial SSU rRNA". It matches the Rfam family "Bacterial small subunit ribosomal RNA", at positions 1002 to 1382 of the family's 1533-position model. The record is from RNAcentral. Lineage: Bacteria; Pseudomonadati; Pseudomonadota; Gammaproteobacteria; Pseudomonadales; Pseudomonadaceae.